GAUGAAGAACGUAGCGAAAUGCGAUACUUGGUGUGAAUUGCAGAAUCCCGUGAACCAUCGAGUGUUUGAACGCAAGUUGCGCCCGAAGCCAUCAGGUUGAGGGCACGUCUGCCUGGGCGUCACAUAUCGUUGCCCUAUGCCUAUUGCAGUGCAAUAGGAAUUUCUAGGGCGAAUGAUGGCUUCCCGUGAGCGUUGUUGCCUCGCGGUUGGUUGAAAAUCGAGUCCUUGGUAGGGUGUGCCAUGGUAGAUGGUGGUCGAGUUAGAACGAUACCGAUCAUGUGCAUGCUCCCCAAAAUAUGGCCUCUAUGACCCACACGCGUCUUUUGACGCUCAUGACGAGACCUCAGGUCAGGCGGGGCUACCCGCUGAAUUUAAGCAUAUCAAUAAGCGGAGGA
This 395-nucleotide unclassified non-coding RNA is filed under the name soil metagenome. RNAcentral describes it as "partial contains 5.8S ribosomal RNA, internal transcribed spacer 2, and large subunit ribosomal RNA". The stretch from base 1 to 122 matches the Rfam family "5.8S ribosomal RNA", at positions 35 to 154 of the family's 154-position model. The record is from RNAcentral.